RNAcentral lists this ribosomal RNA (832 nucleotides) under Clostridium botulinum C/D. RNAcentral describes it as "partial 23S ribosomal RNA". It matches the Rfam family "Bacterial large subunit ribosomal RNA", at positions 930 to 1776 of the family's 2925-position model. The record is from RNAcentral. Lineage: Bacteria; Bacillati; Bacillota; Clostridia; Eubacteriales; Clostridiaceae.
CAACAGUUACUGAACCCUAUCAAACUCCGAAUGCCAUAUACUUGUACCCCGGCAGUCAGACUACGAAUGAUAAGAUCCGUGGUCAAAAGGGAAACAGCCCAGACCAUCAGCUAAGGUCCCAAAGUGUAAGUUAAGUGGGAAAGGAUGUGGGAUUUCUAAGACACCUAGGAUGUUGGCUUAGAAGCAGCCACUCAUUUAAAGAGUGCGUAAUAGCUCACUAGUCGAGAGAUCCUGCGCCGAAGAUGUAACGGGGCUCAAACUUACCACCGAAGCUAUGGAUGUGUACUAUGUACACGUGGUAGAGGAGCUUUCUGUACAGGUUGAAGUCAUACCGUAAGGAGUGGUGGACAGUACAGAAGUGAGAAUGCUGGCAUAAGUAGCGAAAAACAAGUGAGAAUCUUGUUGACCGAAUAUCUAAGGUUUCCUGGGAAAGGCUCGUCCUCCCAGGGUUAGUCGGGACCUAAGCCGAGGCCGAAAGGCGUAGGUGAUGGACAACUGGUUGAUAUUCCAGUACCACCAUAAUGCGUUUGACAAAUGGGAUGACGCAGGAGGAUAGGAUGUGCGCACUAUUGGAUGUGCGUCUAAGCACUUAGGGUGUUAAGUAGGCAAAUCCGCUUAACAUUAAGCCUGAGGUGUGAUGGGGAGCCUAUUUUGGCGAAGUAUCUGAUUCCACGCUGCCAAGAAAAGUCUCUAUGGAGCAAAAUGGUGCCCGUACCGCAAACCGACACAGGUAGAUGAGGAGAGAAUCCUAAGGUCGUCGGAAGAAUUAUUGCUAAGGAACUCGGCAAAUUGACCCCGUAACUUAGGGAGAAGGGGUGCCUACGAGAGUAGG